UAGUAUAGCAUUAUACAGCGAAACUGCGAAUGGCUCAUUAUAUAAGUUAUCGUUUAUUUGAUAGUGCCUUACUACUUGGAUAACCGUGGUAAUUCUAGAGCUAAUACAUGCUAAAAAUCCCGACUUCGGAAGGGAUGUAUUUAUUAGAUUAAAAACCAAUGCCCUCUGGGCUUUUUGGUGAUUCAUGAUAACUUCACGAAUCGCACGGCCUUGCGCCGGCGAUGGCUCAUUCAAAUUUCUUCCCUAUCAACUUUCGAUGUUUGGGUAGUGGCCAAACAUGGUUGCAACGGGUAACGGAGGGUUAGGGCUCGACCCCGGAGAAGGAGCCUGAGAAACGGCUACUACAUCCAAGGAAGGCAGCAGGCGCGCAAAUUACCCAAUCCCGAUUCGGGGAGGUAGUGACAAUAAAUACUGAUACAGGGCUCUUUCGGGUCUUGUAAUCGGAAUGAGUACAAUUUAAAUCCCUUAACGAGGAACAAUUGGAGGGCAAGUCUGGUGCCAGCAGCCGCGGUAAUUCCAGCUCCAAUAGCGUAUAUUAAAGUUGUUGUGGUUAAAAGCUCGUAGUUGAACUUUGGGCUGGCUGGCCGGUCCGCCUCACCGCGAGUACUGGUCCGGCCGGGUCUUUCCCUCUGUGGAACCCCAUGCCCUUCACUGGGUGUGGCGGGGAAACAGGACUUUUACUUUGAAAAAAUUAGAGUGCUCCAGGCAGGCCUAUGCUCGAAUAUAUUAGCAUGGAAUAAUAGAAUAGGACGUGUGGUUCUAUUUUGUUGGUUUCUAGGACCGCCGUAAUGAUUAAUAGGGACAGUCGGGGGCAUCAGUAUUCAAUUGUCAGAGGUGAAAUUCUUGGAUUUAUUGAAGACUAACUACUGCGAAAGCAUUUGCCAAGGAUGUUUUCAUUAAUCAGGAACGAAAGUUAGGGGAUCGAAAACGAUCAGAUACCGUUGUAGUCUUAACCAUAAACUAUGCCGACUCGGGAUCGGACGAUGUUAUUUUUUGACUCGUUCGGCACCGUACGAUAAAUCAAAGUGCUUGGGCUCCAGGGGGAGUAUGGUCGCAAGGCUGAAACUUAAAGAAAUUGACGGAAGGGCACCACCAGGGGUGGAGCCUGCGGCUUAAUUUGACUCAACACGGGGAAACUCACCAGGUCCAGACACAAUGAGGAUUGACAGAUUGAGAGCUCUUUCUUGAUUUUGUGGGUGGUGGUGCAUGGCCGUUCUUAGUUCGUGGGGUGACCUGUCUGCCUGAUCGCGAUAACGAACGAGACCUUAUCCUGCUAAAUAGCCCGUAUUGCUUUGGCAGUACGCUGGCUUCUUAGAGGGACUAUCGGUGUAAGCCGAUGGAAGUUUGAGGCAAUAACAGGUCUGUGAUGCCCUUAGAUGUUCUGGGCUGCACGCGCGUUACACUGGCGGAGCCAGCGAGUACUCCCUUGGCCGAAAGGUCCGGGUAAUCUUGUUAAACUCCGCCGUGCUGGGGAUAGAGCAUUGCAAUUAUUGCUCUUCAACGAGGAAUCCCUAGUAAGCGCAAGUCAUCAGCUUGCGUUGAUUACGUCCCUGCCCUUUGUACACACCGCCCGUCGCUACUACCGAUUGAAUGGCUUAGUGAGGCGUUCGGACUGGCCCAGAGAGGUGGGCAACUACCACUCAGGGCCGGAAAGUUCUCCAAACUUGGUCAUUAGAGAAGU
RNAcentral lists this ribosomal RNA (1681 nucleotides) under Albifimbria verrucaria. RNAcentral describes it as "SSU rRNA". It matches the Rfam family "Eukaryotic small subunit ribosomal RNA". The record is from RNAcentral. Lineage: Eukaryota; Fungi; Ascomycota; Sordariomycetes; Hypocreales; Stachybotryaceae.